This 245-nucleotide ribosomal RNA is filed under the name uncultured bacterium. RNAcentral describes it as "partial 16S ribosomal RNA". It matches the Rfam family "Bacterial small subunit ribosomal RNA", at positions 524 to 768 of the family's 1533-position model. The record is from RNAcentral.
UACGUAGGCAGCGAGCGUUGUUCGGAAUUACUGGGCGUAAAGAGUGCGUAGGCGGUGCUUUAAGUUUGGUGUGAAAUCUCCCGGCUCAACUGGGAGGGUGCGCCGAAAACUGGAGUGCUGGAGUAUGGGAGAGGAAGGCGGAAUUCCUGGUGUAGCGGUGAAAUGCGUAGAUAUCAGGAGGAACACCUGCGGUGUAGACGGCUUUCUGGACCAUGACUGACGCUGAGGCACGAAAGCGUGGGGAG